ACCUGGAUGGCUCAGUCAGUUGAGCAUCUGACUUCAGCUCAGGUCAUGAUCUCGCGGUUCAUGGGUUCAAGCCCCAUGUUGGGCU
This 85-nucleotide transfer RNA is filed under the name Felis catus (domestic cat). It matches the Rfam family "tRNA". Rfam says of the family: Transfer RNA (tRNA) molecules are approximately 80 nucleotides in length. Their secondary structure includes four short double-helical elements and three loops (D, anti-codon, and T loops). Lineage: Eukaryota; Metazoa; Chordata; Mammalia; Carnivora; Felidae. The record is from Rfam by way of RNAcentral.